CCUACGGGAGGCAGCAGUGGGGAAUAUUGCACAAUGGGCGAAAGCCUGAUGCAGCAACGCCGCGUGAGCGAUGAAGGCCUUCGGGUCGUAAAGCUCUGUCCUCAAGGAAGAUAAUUACGGUACUUGAGGAGGACGCCCCGGCUAACUGCGUGCCAGCCGCCGCGGUCAUACGUAGGGGGCUAGCGUUAUCCGGAAUUACUGGGCGUAAGGGGUGCGUAGGUGGUUUCUUAAGUCAGAGGUGAAAGGCUACGGCUCAACCGUAGUAAGCCUUUGAAACUGGGGAACUUGAGUGCAGGAGAGGAGAGUGGAAUGCCUAGUGUAGCGGUGAAAUGCGUAGAUAUUAGGAGGAACACCAGUUGCGAAGGCGGCUCUCUGGACUGUAACUGACACUGAGGCACGAAAGCGUGGGGAGCAAACAGGAUUAGAUACCCCUGUAGUC
Molecule: ribosomal RNA, 439 nt
Filed under: uncultured bacterium
Lineage: Bacteria
Description: partial 16S ribosomal RNA
Rfam family: Bacterial small subunit ribosomal RNA
Source: RNAcentral